AGAUGUCAUUUUCUCUAUGGUUGGUC
RNAcentral lists this non-coding RNA (26 nucleotides) under Rattus norvegicus (Norway rat). The record is from RNAcentral. Lineage: Eukaryota; Metazoa; Chordata; Mammalia; Rodentia; Muridae.